Molecule: unclassified non-coding RNA, 433 nt
Filed under: soil metagenome
Description: partial contains 5.8S ribosomal RNA, internal transcribed spacer 2, and large subunit ribosomal RNA
Rfam family: 5.8S ribosomal RNA (bases 1-120)
Source: RNAcentral
GAUGAAGAACGCAGCGAAAUGCGAUACGCAAUGUGAAUUGCAGAAUUCAGUGAAUCAUCGAAUCUUUGAACGCAUAUUGCGCUCUCUGGUAUUCCGGAGAGCAUGCUUGUUUGAGUAUCAGUAAACACCUCAACUUCCAUAUCUUUUUUGAAAUGGGAGUUGGACUUGAGUGAUCCCAACGCUUUUCCUCACCGAAAAGUGGCGGGUUACUUGAAAUGCAGGUGCAGCUGGACUUUUCUCUGAGCUAUAAGCAUAUCUAUUUAGUCUGCCUAAAAAACAGAUUAUUACCUUUGCUGCAGCUAACAUAAAGGAGAUUAGUUCUUGUGCUGACUGAUGCAGGAUUCACAAAGACAGGCUUCGGCCGACUUUGUAAACUCGAUCUCAAAUCAAGUAAGACUACCCGCUGAACUUAAGCAUAUCAAUAAGCGGAGGA